RNAcentral lists this small RNA (107 nucleotides) under Marmota monax (woodchuck). The record is from RNAcentral. Lineage: Eukaryota; Metazoa; Chordata; Mammalia; Rodentia; Sciuridae.
GCCAGAUGUGGAGCUGCACACCUGUAAUCCCAGCGACUCGGGAGGCUGAGGCAGGAGGAUUGCAAGUUCAAGGCCAGCCUGGGCAACCUACUGAGAACCAGCCUCCA